This 347-nucleotide ribosomal RNA is filed under the name Escherichia coli. Its description in RNAcentral is "partial 23S ribosomal RNA". It matches the Rfam family "Bacterial large subunit ribosomal RNA", at positions 138 to 523 of the family's 2925-position model. The record is from RNAcentral. Lineage: Bacteria; Pseudomonadati; Pseudomonadota; Gammaproteobacteria; Enterobacterales; Enterobacteriaceae.
UUUCGACACACUAUCAUUAACUGAAUCCAUAGGUUAAUGAGGCGAACCGGGGGAACUGAAACAUCUAAGUACCCCGAGGAAAAGAAAUCAACCGAGAUUCCCCCAGUAGCGGCGAGCGAACGGGGAGGAGCCCAGAGCCUGAAUCAGUGUGUGUGUUAGUGGAAGCGUCUGGAAAGGCGCGCGAUACAGGGUGACAGCCCCGUACACAAAAAUGCACAUGCUGUGAGCUCGAUGAGUAGGGCGGGACACGUGGUAUCCUGUCUGAAUAUGGGGGGACCAUCCUCCAAGGCUAAAUACUCCUGACUGACCGAUAGUGAACCAGUACCGUGAGGGAAAGGCGAAAAGAA